This 253-nucleotide ribosomal RNA is filed under the name uncultured bacterium. Its description in RNAcentral is "partial 16S ribosomal RNA". It matches the Rfam family "Bacterial small subunit ribosomal RNA", at positions 524 to 776 of the family's 1533-position model. The record is from RNAcentral.
UACGGAGGAUCCAAGCGUUAUCCGGAAUCAUUGGGUUUAAAGGGUCCGUAGGCGGUUUAGUAAGUCAGUGGUGAAAGCCCAUCGCUCAACGGUGGAACGGCCAUUGAUACUGCUAGACUUGAAUUAUUAGGAAGUAACUAGAAUAUGUAGUGUAGCGGUGAAAUGCAUAGAGAUUACAUGGAAUACCAAUUGCGAAGGCAGGUUACUACUAAAACAUUGACGCUGAUGGACGAAAGCGUGGGUAGCGAACAGG